GUUCAAACGAUUUGUUUCUCUAAUGUUAGUCACAAACAAAUCCAUCUGCCUGCAGUCCUGAGCAAAUAUUUUGCAUGACAAGACUGAAAGCUUUUAGUCACACACGUCACCCUCUGACAACAGGGGCAUCAUCCUGUUCAAUAUACAAAUAUUCAUCUGGAAACGGACUUGAGGUUUUGGAUGAAAGGGAAAAUCUAUGUUCAAUGUUGUGACUCUUCUUUCGGGGAUAACAAUUCAAGUUUUUCAAGUUUUAGUGCCAAAAUCAGUGAAAGGAAACUAUCAGCGGUGUUCUUGUAUCUCACGGUCUUCAAGAGGAGUUUUCUUCAUAAGAGCCAGAGAGACAAGCCAAGUACAAACAUCACAUGAUUACAUUUACGGGUCCCUGGGAUUACCAUCACUGAGAACCUAUCUCAGUCAUCACACGUCACCACCCCCAUUAAAAACAGCACAGAGAGGGCUCUACUUCCUACAGGAACUUCAGGAGCCUAAAUUCUGGAGGAGCUUCUCAUCAACUUUUACAGAGGAGGAACAGAAAGCAUCGUGACUGGAACCAUCACAGACUGGCAUAGUUUGUGUUUGGCCCAGGACAGGAAGGCUCUACAACUGGCAAUGAAAACCACCCAGAACAUCUCUGGCACCAUCUACAGAGCAGCAGUUAAAGGGAUAUUCCAGCGUAAGUUUAAUCCAUGGUCUGACACACUAUGACACCGAGUAAGACCCCCACUUGAGAGAUCAAGUUUUCCGACUGCUAGCUUAUGUAGUUUUAGCAACCUCAGAAAACACCGCACAAUAACAAUACGGAAUUCCUCUGCACUCUACUUGAUCUCUCGGGGGGGGGGGGGGGGUGUCUUUACUCGGUGUCACUGUGUGUUAGACCGUGGAUUAAAUUCACGCCGGAAUAUCCCUUUGAGAGAGUUGACUGCACGAAGCCCUAAGGAUACCUAAAGAUAACACCCACCCCCGCUGCUAUCUGGCAAAAGAUACAGAAGUAUCUGCUGUCGUACUACAGACACAAGACUUGAUUCUCAGGAAGUGUGUAUCUUAGUGUAGUGGUCAGUGUUAUUAAUCACUCAUGGCACGACACAAAAUGUAAGCAGAAACUGCCAUAUGUUAAGGAAAAUUCUACUUGACCCAGGAAAGAGACCACAGAGCUCGCAACAACUCAUUAGUGCAACAACUAAAAACAAAGAUGUAGACCGAACCACCACUUUACAUUUAUGCAUUCAACACUUUGGCAAAUAAAACGUUCACUUUCUUUUUAAGAGGAAAUGAGAGGAUUGACACCAUUCUCACGUCUGAAUGAUAAAUAUGACACUGUUAGCACAACUUAGCACAAAGACUAUGAACAAUCAGCAUUUGUCAGUCAAGAGGUAAUACAAUCCAACCACCUGCCUCUUUAAGGCUCACUUAUUAACUAGUUGUUGGGUGACCUGAAAUUUUUUUUGUUUCUAAUCAGGACCUGUAACUUCCUGAAGCUAAGCCAACCAGCUGCUCGUGUAACUCUUGGAAAGAAAGUGAACAAGCACAGUUUGCAAAAUGUCACACUUUUUUUUUUAAAUGGGUAAUGCUAAAACCUUUGUCCAUCACAGUAAUGCAUCAUCAUAAAAAAAAAUGUAACCAAAAGCAAAAUGCAGAUGAGCGAGCAGGUGAAUAAAGAGCAAGCACCGCACAACCAUGAGAAAAAAGUUAUGGGGACUGCUGCAUUUAUUUGACUUUUUCAACAUACAUAAAACAAUGUGCGCCGUAGCCAAAAAUGCUUGUAUUUACAAAAAAAAAAAAUCAAUAUACACAAAAGAAUUAUUAUACAACAAAAGAGAAACAAACCCUUCAGUAAUCCUUACAACAACAGAGCAAGUACGAACAAAACUUGUUUUUUGACACCUUGUAAAGUUUUUUGUGCAGAUGUUCUUUUAUUACAAGGAAAUAAAGUGUUUGUAUUUUACAAAACUCAGAUGCACAUCAAAUAUGCAAGCUGCGGCACACAUUCUCUGGGUGUAUGAGGGUAAAAAAAACCAGAAGCUUUCUGACGAAUCAUCAAUGAAACCUUCUUUUCCUCAGCACACCUUUUCUUACCUCCAGUGCAUUAAAUGUGUCUAUCAAACACUAAUUACAAAUGAACUUGAGUAAGUCUGUUGUCUUUUUAGGUUUUUUUCUUCAGGUGAGCAAAGGUAUGGUGUGUGAUUUACAAAGGAAGUGGGCCAUUGACCUUAACCAACAAAAAUCCAAACUUUUGUAGUGUUUCCAUCCAAAGCCUGACGGACUGGUAUAUGUAUUGACUAUAAAACUCGGCAAAAAACUCUCAACCCAUCUCAGGACAAAAUGCUGCUGUGGAAGCAGUGACCGCGUCCUCCUGAAAACGCUGUUUAACAGUGUAUCGAACAGUAGCAACUGAUGCUGGGAACAGAUCCAACCACAUUUCAAAUGUUUGUCACAGACUGUCAGAGCAGCAAGUUCAGUUUCAGAAACCAAUUAUAAACAGCAAGGUUUGAGAAGCAACACGAAGCUACGAGACCAUGUGUCAUAGUGAUGAUACUAAAGGUGGCAAUUUCCUUCUGAGCAUUGCCUUUUCUGCCAAAACAAUGAUACUGGGGCUUAAAUGUACAUGUUUUGGUGUGCAAGUGAUUCCUACUAACCCAAUAUGUUAAAAUCGGUCCAGUAAAUCGGCUCAGCUGGAAGUAGCUGCAAUGUAAUUUGACAAACAUCAAAGUUAUGUCCACUUAAAGUCCUGAACUACACAACUCUUGAGAGAUUUCAGAGCAAAACCUCUUUCUAGUUAUAAAAAUGUUCUUUUUAUUAAACAACAAAAUCUCCCUCUGUAGGAUUAUUGUAGGCAGCCAGUUAGAAUAACAAUCUCAGCCUGUCAGUAGCAGGAACGGACACAACUUUGACAGUCGGAGGUGCUCCAAAGGAUUAUGUUGUAGCUGUUGCCCGCUGAGGCCAUCUACUGGACCCAUUCAAAAACUUUUGGUAAGUAUGAAACAUUUACUCAACAAAACAUGAAGAUAUUAGGCCCAGAUUUUAAGUGGUAAACUGAAAUUACAGGAGUGUCUACUUUUUAGAAUUCCAGUUACUAAUAAUUAUUUUAUGAUGCUUAAUCUGGUGAUCUUUUCCUGACAGUAUACUGUAUAGGAAAAGGGAGAAAACAAAAUUGGUGAUACUCUUUGUUGAUGCUGAAAGACUCCAAACUCCUGAAAAUGCUCCCCGACUGGAAUGACACCUUGUUUAAGAACAUGACAAGCCUAUAACUCAUGUGUUGGAAAAAAAAACAUGCAAAACAUGUAAAUGUCCCAAACUGUCGAGAGCUUGUAUACUCAGAAAAGGUGUCCGAGUAGGUAGACAAUCAUGGAGCGCCAGUUUACUGUUCUUGUUCUAAAACAUUUUCUCCAGGUGCUUUUUGCAAAAUUGAAGCAUCCUGUUGACGGUUGUCGAGGAUCUGCAAAAAUGUAUUACUAUCUGGUAUAGACUUUGCUGCCUGACAAAUACAGCAUUUGUUAAAAUGUUGCAUGUGUUGUUCACCCUCAACAACUUGAGAGCAAAGAAAAAGGAAGAGAUAAAGAAUACUUGAAGCCAACAGCAGCUAGUUUGACGACCAGUCUUUAUGUAAAAUAAUAUUUAGACUGUCCAUGUCUUCCAGGCUGGAAGAAAUGCUGAAAUAAAUUAU
Acanthopagrus latus (yellowfin seabream) is the source of this 3661-nucleotide long non-coding RNA. RefSeq lists it as uncharacterized. NCBI's taxonomy places the organism in Eukaryota, Metazoa, Chordata, Actinopteri, Spariformes, Sparidae. The record is from RefSeq and is a predicted model, not a curated record. The transcript has 2 exons.